RNAcentral lists this ribosomal RNA (301 nucleotides) under uncultured bacterium. RNAcentral's name for it is "partial 16S ribosomal RNA". It matches the Rfam family "Bacterial small subunit ribosomal RNA", at positions 509 to 807 of the family's 1533-position model. The record is from RNAcentral.
CAGUAGCCGCGGUAAUACGAAGGGGGCUAGCGUUGUUCGGAUUUACUGGGCGUAAAGCGCACGUAGGCGGAUGAUUAAGUCAGGGGUGAAAUCCCGAGGCUCAACCUCGGAACUGCCUUUGAUACUGGUCAUCUUGAGUCCGGGAGAGGUGAGUGGAACUGCGAGUGUAGAGGUGAAAUUCGUAGAUAUUCGCAAGAACACCAGUGGCGAAGGCGGCUCACUGGCCCGGUACUGACGCUGAGGUGCGAAAGCGUGGGGAGCAAACAGGAUUAGAUACCCCCGUAGUCCCUGUCUCUUAUAC